GACGAACGCUGGCGGCGUGCUUAACACAUGCAAGUCGAACGGAAAGGCCCUGCUUUUGUGGGGUGCUCGAGUGGCGAACGGGUGAGUAACACGUGAGUAACCUGCCCUUGACUUUGGGAUAACUUCAGGAAACUGGGGCUAAUACCGGAUAGGAGCUCCUGCUGCAUGGUGGGGGUUGGAAAGUUUCGGCGGUUGGGGAUGGACUCGCGGCUUAUCAGCUUGUUGGUGGGGUAGUGGCUUACCAAGGCUUUGACGGGUAGCCGGGCUGAGCGGGUAACCGGCCAAAUCACAACGGGAAUGCGACACAGACUCCUACGGGACGCAGCGGAGGAGAAUAUUACACUAUGGGCGGAGGCCUGAUGCAGCAACGCCGCGUGGGGGAUGACAGCCAUCGGGUUGUGAUCCACUUUCGCCUGUGACGAGGCGUGAAUGACGGUAAUGGGUGAAGAAGCACCGGCUAGCUACGUG
Molecule: ribosomal RNA, 468 nt
Filed under: uncultured bacterium
Lineage: Bacteria
Description: partial 16S ribosomal RNA
Rfam family: Bacterial small subunit ribosomal RNA
Source: RNAcentral